Molecule: ribosomal RNA, 657 nt
Filed under: Salmonella enterica
Lineage: Bacteria; Pseudomonadati; Pseudomonadota; Gammaproteobacteria; Enterobacterales; Enterobacteriaceae
Description: partial 23S ribosomal RNA
Rfam family: Bacterial large subunit ribosomal RNA
Source: RNAcentral
AGACCCGAAACCCGGUGAUCUAGCCAUGGGCAGGUUGAAGGUUGGGUAACACUAACUGGAGGACCGAACCGACUAAUGUUGAAAAAUUAGCGGAUGACCUGUGGCUGGGGGUGAAAGGCCAAUCAAACCGGGAGAUAGCUGGUUCUCCCCGAAAGCUAUUUAGGUAGCGCCUCGUGAAUUCAUCUCCGGGGGUAGAGCACUGUUUCGGCUAGGGGGCCAUCCCGGCUUACCAACCCGAUGCAAACUGCGAAUACCGGAGAAUGUUAUCACGGGAGACACACGGCGGGUGCUAACGUCCGUCGUGAAGAGGGAAACAACCCAGACCGCCAGCUAAGGUCCCAAAGUCAUGGUUAAGUGGGAAACGAUGUGGGAAGGCCCAGACAGCCAGGAUGUUGGCUUAGAAGCAGCCAUCAUUUAAAGAAAGCGUAAUAGCUCACUGGUCGAGUCGGCCUGCGCGGAAGAUGUAACGGGGCUAAACCAUGCACCGAAGCUGCGGCAGCGAACGUAUCACUUAAAGCGAUUCAGCGGGUUACGAUUGACGGAGCGAAGCGACGUCAAAGCGUAUACAAAGUCGAGUCGGUUUAAGGAUACGUUCGUUGGGUAGGGGAGCGUUCUGUAAGCCUGUGAAGGUGGCCUGUGAGGGUUGCUGGAGGUAUC